RNAcentral lists this long non-coding RNA (303 nucleotides) under Rattus norvegicus (Norway rat). RNAcentral describes it as "long non-coding RNA NONRATT019433". The record is from RNAcentral. Lineage: Eukaryota; Metazoa; Chordata; Mammalia; Rodentia; Muridae.
GGCGGCGACAACGACGGCGGUGACAACGACGGCGGCGGUGACGGGCGCCGCGCCGGGGGAAUUUGAUCAUCACUGCCCUUGGGUGAACAACUGUAUUGGUCGCAGGAACUACAGAUACUUCUUCCUUUUCCUCCUUUCCCUGACAGCCCACAUCAUGGGUGUGUUUGGCUUUGGCCUCCUUUAUGUCCUCUGUCACAUAGAGGAACUCUCAGGGGUCCGAACUGCUGUCACAAUGGCAGUGAUGUGUGUGGCUGGCUUGUUUUUCAUCCCUGUAGCUGGCCUCACAGGAUUUCAUGUGGUGCU